AUUCCAGAAGUUGAUCAUGGUUCAGAACGAACGCUGGCGGCAAGCUUAACACAUGCAAGUCGAACGGACCGUACACGCAGCUUGCUGCGUGUAUGGUUAGUGGCAGACGGGUGAGUAAUGCAUAGGAAUCUGCCUAGUAGUAUAGGAUAGCCACUAGAAAUGGUGGGUAAUACUGUAUAAUCCCUGCGGGGGAAAGAUUUAUCGCUACUAGAUGAGCCUAUGUCAGAUUAGCUAGUUGGUGGGGUAAUGGCCCACCAAGGCUGUGAUCUGUAGCUGGUCUGAGAGGAUGAUCAGCCACACUGGAACUGAGACACGGUCCAGACUCCUACGGGAGGCAGCAGUGGGGAAUAUUGGACAAUGGGCGCAAGCCUGAUCCAGCUAUGCCGCGUGAGUGAGGAAAGCCUUAGGGUUGUAAAACUCUUUCAGUGGAGUUAGAUAA
RNAcentral lists this ribosomal RNA (439 nucleotides) under Anaplasma ovis. RNAcentral describes it as "bacterial SSU rRNA". It matches the Rfam family "Bacterial small subunit ribosomal RNA", at positions 1 to 452 of the family's 1533-position model. The record is from RNAcentral. Lineage: Bacteria; Pseudomonadati; Pseudomonadota; Alphaproteobacteria; Rickettsiales; Anaplasmataceae.